Molecule: ribosomal RNA, 370 nt
Filed under: uncultured bacterium
Lineage: Bacteria
Description: bacterial SSU rRNA
Rfam family: Bacterial small subunit ribosomal RNA
Source: RNAcentral
GUAGGGGGCAAGCGUUGUCCGGAUUUAUUGGGCGUAAAGAGCGUGUAGGCGGUUUGGUAGGUCCGUUGUGAAAACUCGAGGCUCAACCUCGAGACGCCGAUGGAAACCAUCAGACUAGAGUCCGGAAGAGGAGAGUGGAAUUCCUGGUGUAGCGGUGAAAUGCGCAGAUAUCAGGAAGAACACCCGUGGCUAAGGCGGCUCUCUAGUACGGUACUGACGCUGAGACGCGAAAGCGUGGGGAGCGAACAGGAUUAGAUACCCUGGUAGUCCACGCCGUAAACGAUGGGUGCUAGGUGUAGGGGGUGUCGACUCCCUCUGUGCCGAAGCUAACGCAUUAAGCACCCCGCCUGGGGAGUACGGCCKCAAGGCU